RNAcentral lists this ribosomal RNA (253 nucleotides) under uncultured bacterium. Its description in RNAcentral is "partial 16S ribosomal RNA". It matches the Rfam family "Bacterial small subunit ribosomal RNA", at positions 524 to 776 of the family's 1533-position model. The record is from RNAcentral.
UACGUAGGGGGCUAGCGUUGUCCGGAUUUAUUGGGCGUAAAGAGCGUGUAGGCGGCCAGGUAGGUCUGCUGUGAAAACUCGAGGCUCAACCUCGAGACGUCGGCGGAAACCAUCUGGCUAGAGUCCGGGAGAGGGAUGCGGAAUUCCAGGUGUAGCGGUGAAAUGCGUAGAUAUCUGGAGGAACACCGGUGGCGAAGGCGGCAUCCUGGACCGGCAUUGACGCUGAGGCGCGAAAGCCAGGGGAGCAAACGGG